Molecule: ribosomal RNA, 366 nt
Filed under: uncultured rumen bacterium
Lineage: Bacteria
Description: bacterial SSU rRNA
Rfam family: Bacterial small subunit ribosomal RNA
Source: RNAcentral
UUGGCUCAGGAUGAACGCUGGCGGCGUGCUUAACACAUGCAAGUCGAACGAGAAGAGAUGAGAAGCUUGCUUCUUAUCAAUUCGAGUGGCAAACGGGUGAGUAACGCGUAAGCAACCUGCCCUUCAGAUGGGGACAACAGCUGGAAACGGCUGCUAAUACCGAAUACGUUCUUUUUGUCGCAUGGCAGAGAGAAGAAAGGGAGGCUCUUCGGAGCUUUCGCUGAAGGAGGGGCUUGCGUCUGAUUAGCUAGUUGGAGGGGUAACGGCCCACCAAGGCGACGAUCAGUAGCCGGUCUGAGAGGAUGAACGGCCACAUUGGAACUGAGACACGGUCCAGACUCCUACGGGAGGCAGCAGUGGGGAAUA